RNAcentral lists this unclassified non-coding RNA (152 nucleotides) under soil metagenome. RNAcentral describes it as "partial internal transcribed spacer 1". The record is from RNAcentral.
CCGAGCUUACAACUCCCAAACCCCUGUGAACAUACCUAUCGUUGCUUCGGCGGGAUGCCCCAGUUUGACGCAAGCUGGACCCAGGCGCCCGCCGGAGGACCCAAACUCUUGUUUUAUUUAUGUAUCUUCCGAGUAAACAAGCAAAUAAAUUA